CUUGGUCAUUUAGAGGAAGUAAAAGUCGUAACAAGGUUUCCGUAGGUGAACCUGCGGAAGGAUCAUUACCUAGAGUUUGCGGGCUUUGCCUGCUAUCUCUUACCCAUGUCUUUUGAGUACUUACGUUUCCUCGGUGGGUUCGCCCGCCGAUUGGACAAUUUAAACCCUUUGCAGUUGCAAUCAGCGUCUGAAAAAAAUUAAUAAUUACAACUUUCAACAACGGAUCUCUUGGUUCUGGCAUCGAUGAAGAACGCAGCGAAAUGCGAUAAGUAGUGUGAAUUGCAGAAUUCAGUGAAUCAUCGAAUCUUUGAACGCACAUUGCGCCCCUUGGUAUUCCAUGGGGCAUGCCUGUUCGAGCGUCAUUUGUACCUUCAAGCUCUGCUUGGUGUUGGGUGUUUGUCUCGCCUUUGCGUGUAGACUCGCCUCAAAACAAUUGGCAGCCGGCGUAUUGAUUUCGGAGCGCAGUACAUCUCGCGCUUUGCACUCAUAACGACGACGUCCAAAAGUACAUUUUACACUCUUGACCUCGGAUCAGGUAGGGAUACCCGCUGAACUUAAGCAUAUCAAUAAGCGGAGGAAAAGAAACCAACAGGGAUUGCCCUAGUAACGGCGAGUGAAGCGGCAACAGCUCAAAUUUGAAAUCUGGCGUCUUUGGCGUCCGAGUUAUAAUUUGCAGAGGGCGCUUUGGCAUUGGCAGCGGUCCAAGUUCCUUGGAACAGGACGUCACAGAGGGUGAGAAUCCCGUACGUGGUCGCUAGCCUUUACCGUGUAAAGCCCCUUCGACGAGUCGAGUUGUUUGGGAAU
This 804-nucleotide small RNA is filed under the name uncultured Psiloglonium. RNAcentral's name for it is "eukaryotic LSU rRNA". The stretch from base 522 to 804 matches the Rfam family "Eukaryotic large subunit ribosomal RNA", at positions 1 to 281 of the family's 3401-position model. The record is from RNAcentral. Lineage: Eukaryota; Fungi; Ascomycota; Dothideomycetes; Hysteriales; Hysteriaceae.